AGGAAUAUUGGUCAAUGGUCGGCAGACUGAACCAGCCAAGUCGCGUGAGGGAAGACGGCCCUACGGGUUGUAAACCUCUUUUGUCGGAGAGUAAAGUACGCUACGUGUAGCGUAUUGCAAGUAUCCGAAGAAAAAGCAUCGGCUAACUACGUGCCAGCAGCCGCGGUAAAACGUAGGUCACAAGCGUUGUCCGGAAUUACUGGGUGUAAAGGGAGCGCAGGCGGGAAGACAAGUUGGAAGUGAAAUCUAUGGGCUCAACCCAUAAACUGCUUUCAAAACUGUUUUUCUUGAGUAGUGCAGAGGUAGGCGGAAUUCCCGGUGUAGCGGUGGAAUGCGUAGAUAUCGGGAGGAACACCAGUGGCGAAGGCGGCCUACUGGGCACCAACUGACGCUGAGGCUCGAAAGUGUGGGUAGCAAACAGGAUUAGAUACCCUGGUAGUCCACACCGUAAACGAUGAUUACUAGGUGUUGGAGGAUUGACCCCUUCAGUGCCGCAGUUAACACAAUAAGUAAUCCACCUGGGGAGUACGACCGCAAGGUUGAAACUCAAAGGAAUUGACGGGGGCCCGCACAAGCAGUGGAGUAUGUGGUUUAAUUCGACGCAACGCGAAGAACCUUACCAAGUCUUGACAUCCCUUGACAGGCAUAGAAAUAUGUAAUCUCUUCGGAGCAAGGAGACAGGUGGUGCAUGGUUGUCGUCAGCUCGUGUCGUGAGAUGUUGGGUUAAGUCCCGCAACGAGCGCAACCCUUAUGGUCAGUUACUACGCAAGAGGACUCUGGCCAGACUGCCGUUGACAAAACGGAGGAAGGUGGGGAUGACGUCAAAUCAUCAUGCCCUUUAUGACUUGGGCUACACACGUACUACAAUGGCGUUAAACAAAGAGAAGCAAGACCGCGAGGUGGAGCAAAACUCAGAAACAACGUCCCAGUUCGGACUGCAGGCUGCAACUCGCCUGCACGAAGUCGGAAUUGCUAGUAAUCGUGGAUCAGCAUGCCACGGUGAAUACGUUCCCG
This 1014-nucleotide ribosomal RNA is filed under the name uncultured bacterium. RNAcentral's name for it is "bacterial SSU rRNA". It matches the Rfam family "Bacterial small subunit ribosomal RNA", at positions 357 to 1376 of the family's 1533-position model. The record is from RNAcentral.